This 253-nucleotide ribosomal RNA is filed under the name uncultured bacterium. RNAcentral describes it as "partial 16S ribosomal RNA". It matches the Rfam family "Bacterial small subunit ribosomal RNA", at positions 524 to 776 of the family's 1533-position model. The record is from RNAcentral.
UACGUAGGGGGCCAGCGUUGUUCGGAAUUACUGGGUGUAAAGGGUUCGUAGGCGGUGUGGCAAGUUGGGAGUGAAAUCUCUGGGCUCAACCCAGAGACGGCUUCCAAAACUGCCGUGCUUGAGUGUGGGAGAGGCUCGUGGAAUUGCAGGUGUAGCGGUGAAAUGCGUAGAUAUCUGCAGGAACACCCGUGGCGAAAGCGGCGCGCUGGACCACUACUGACGCUGAGGAACGAAAGCUAGGGGAGCAAACAGG